RNAcentral lists this ribosomal RNA (551 nucleotides) under Mycolicibacterium senegalense. RNAcentral's name for it is "bacterial SSU rRNA". It matches the Rfam family "Bacterial small subunit ribosomal RNA", at positions 28 to 596 of the family's 1533-position model. Lineage: Bacteria; Bacillati; Actinomycetota; Actinomycetes; Mycobacteriales; Mycobacteriaceae. The record is from RNAcentral.
GACGAACGCUGGCGGCGUGCUUAACACAUGCAAGUCGAACGGAAAGGCCCUUCGGGGUACUCGAGUGGCGAACGGGUGAGUAACACGUGGGUGAUCUGCCCUGCACUUUGGGAUAAGCCUGGGAAACUGGGUCUAAUACCGGAUAGGACCACGCGCUUCAUGGUGUGUGGUGGAAAGCUUUUGCGGUGUGGGAUGGGCCCGCGGCCUAUCAGCUUGUUGGUGGGGUAAUGGCCUACCAAGGCGACGACGGGUAGCCGGCCUGAGAGGGUGACCGGCCACACUGGGACUGAGAUACGGCCCAGACUCCUACGGGAGGCAGCAGUGGGGAAUAUUGCACAAUGGGCGCAAGCCUGAUGCAGCGACGCCGCGUGAGGGAUGACGGCCUUCGGGUUGUAAACCUCUUUCAAUAGGGACGAAGCGCAAGUGACGGUACCUAUAGAAGAAGGACCGGCCAACUACGUGCCAGCAGCCGCGGUAAUACGUAGGGUCCGAGCGUUGUCCGGAAUUACUGGGCGUAAAGAGCUCGUAGGUGGUUUGUCGCGUUGUUCGUG